UUGAAAGGGAAACGAUUGAAGUCAGUCGUACUGACGGGAAAUCAACUUCUCGAGUGUUUGUCGUGAAUGACGUUGAGCUUCACGGCCUUCGUUGCUUGCUUUAUGGUGCUUUUGAGGUGUACUUUUCCGUAUGGUAGGCCAACGUCAGUUUCGAUCACUAUAAAAUGACUGGCGGAANGUAGCUUNGAUUUCNNUNGAAGUGUUAUAGCCUCUGGUAGAUGUGGUGAUUGGGACUGAGGAUUGCAACGAAUAUCCUUUGGGCUAUCCGUCUGAUCUCUGAAAGUUGCUCAGGUGCCGAAAGCGUGCUUACGGUUAUCUAAGUUAACGGUCAAUAGGUUAGAACGUGAUUACAUUCGUUAAGGAUGUUGACGUA
This 373-nucleotide ribosomal RNA is filed under the name uncultured Glomeromycotina. Its description in RNAcentral is "LSU rRNA". The record is from RNAcentral. Lineage: Eukaryota; Fungi; Glomeromycota.